GGAGCUGUUGGCCACGUUUCAAAAGUAAAAAAAAUAUACACAUAUACAGUAGAGAGCGAGAGAAACUGGGAGAGAGAACUCGGGCAAGGAAAACUUUCUGGAACAAAAUCCCCGUCUCCAGCGCCGGACCAUCUCGUGUCUUUAAAAGCAAAGCAAGCAGCGGUUGCCAACCCCAAACCACAGUCCUCAAGUCCUCAGCCCCAGAACAAAGGUCCGAUUCCAUCCUCCCCCCCCCGCCUCUCUCCCCCGCUCUGCAGUUGUCAGGACAAACUUGUCCAUCUCUGGGCUGAGGGGAAUACAAAUUCUCUACCUCCUCUCCCUCCGCCUCUCCAAAACGCUCCGGAGAGGCAUCACCAGCAGUUCCCCUCACCCCCCGCGCUGCCCGCGACUUCAGAACUUCAUUUUUUGACUCUUCCCGAGUCACAGUUUGAGGGUCGAACUCCCUCCCGAAUCCUAUCGCGGUUGGCAGCGAUUUCCCCCUGCGGAGUUCGUUUGGUGCUGCCGUCCCCUCUCUCCGGCUCACGGCUCUCAAAGCGGGACGGGGCUCUUUUCGGGACCCCAAAUAGAACCGCGGUGCACCGACGGGCUGUUCCCGAGGGCGACUCGAUCGCAAAGAGGCGUUCAGAACUUCCAUCAGUUUCCACACCUUUUCAUUCCUCCGAAUACACUUUAUUUGGGGAAUCGCUCCCACUGCCGCGUAGGUUCGUUUCGGGGACAUCGCCCCAAAAUAUUCCCCGCCGAGUUCAAUGCGCAUCAAACGCAUCUUCAAAGUUUUGUUCUUCUCACCCUGAAGUUCGGCGGCAAUUUUCUGUCUUAAAACUAUCGCCCUUCAUUUAGAAAAUGCGGGGUGCGCGCAGAAAGGGGGGUUAUUUGUUAAUUAACUGAUUACUUGGAGGGGAGCUGGGGGGGUGGGGGGGGGAGAGAGAAUAUUUAGUUCAUUAUUGAGAUGUCAUUCGGCAGAGGUACCGCUGUCAAAUUCGGAGGGGGAGGAGAGGGGGGGUGGAAAACUUCUCUUUUUGAUAUAUUGGCUUUAUUAUCCUAGGUCCGGUCAUGCAAACCUCGCCCUUUGGGGCGCCCUGCAGAGGUUGGUUCCUGCUACCCGGCUCGGCAGCAGCUCCCCUCACUCCGAAUCCUUUCCGUGUCCCGUACAACUGCUAACAACGUACCUCUUCCUUGCUAAUAACUGCUUUUCUUUCAUUCUGAAUAAACAUAUAUACGUCUAAAGUCA
RNAcentral lists this long non-coding RNA (1228 nucleotides) under Coturnix japonica (Japanese quail). Its description in RNAcentral is "lncRNA (ENSCJPG00005020623.1)". The record is from RNAcentral. Lineage: Eukaryota; Metazoa; Chordata; Aves; Galliformes; Phasianidae.